CUGUGUGAUGUUGACAGCCAUUAUUCAAUUUAGAUCACAUGCCAUGUAUGAAGAUUUGGCUCUUGUGCAUUCCUGUGGGGUUAACAACCUUCUACCAUUCAGAUGAGAUGCUUCCAUCCUCAUCUUGAGACCCCGUUCACAUGAAAGCAUCAAGUUGGAAGAGGAUUUAGAUCUUGUGCACUGCUGUGGGUUAACAACCUUCUACCAUUCAGAUGAGAUGCUUCACUCCUCAUCUUGAGACCCCGUUCACAUGAAAGCAUCAAGUUGGAAGAGGAUUUAGAUCUUGUGCACUGCUGUGGGUUAACAACCUUCUACCAUUCAGAUGAGAUGCAUUCAUCCUUAUCUUGAGACCCUAUUCACAUGAAAAUAUCAAGUUGGAAGAGGAUUUAAAGCUUGUGCAUUCUUGUGGGUUGCUUUCAUCCUCAUCCUGAGACCCUGUUCACAUGAAAGCAUCAAGUUGGAAGAGGAUGUAGAUCUUGUGCAUUCUUGUGGGUUGCUUCCAUCUUCAUCUUGAGACCCCAUUCACGUGAAAGCAUCAAGUUGGAAGAGGAUUUAGAUCUUGCGCACUGCUGUUGGUUAACAACCUUCUACCAUUCAGAUGAGAUGCAUUCAUCCUUAUCUUGAGACCCUGAUCACAUGAAAACAUCAAGUUGGAGAAGGAUUUUUGUCUUGUGCCGUCCUGUGGGUUAACAACCUUCUACCAUUCAGAUUUGAUGCUUUCAUCAUCAUCUUGAGACCCUGUUCACAUGAAAGCAUCAAGUUGGAGAAGUAUUUUUGUCUUGUGCAUUUCUGUGUGGUUAGCAACCAUCUACCAUUCAGGUGAGAUACACUUAUCAUUAUCUUUAGGCCCCAGUCACUCAAAAGUAUCAAUUGCAGUAAAUAUGUGAUACACUCUCAGUAUGAGUAUACAGCAUAGUAUGAGUCUACAUGUUCCAAAUGUUUGAGCCUGAAAAUUUUUGAACUAUACAUGUAGGUUGAUGAAUAUUAACCAUUCAAAUAUCUUUUUUUUAAAUUAUAUAGUGAGCAAAUCACCCAACAUGACAUUGGGUCAUAAUAUUAUAAAAAAAAUCCUUUAUCAAUAGUAUUGAGUCCCUACAUCGAAUAUGAAAAUUCUCAGGCCCAUCUGAAAGUAGGGAAAGUAAGAUAGUAUUGUCUAUGAUGACAAAGGUUUCUAUUGCAUUGAAUAUUCAUCUUGCAGAUGAAGUGUAUUGACAUACCAAAAAGUCAGCCUUGGCCUUCUUGAUUUUCAUUUCUUCAUCUUCGCAGUAAUAUAUCACCUGGAUUGCAGCCUUUUAAUAAUCUUGGGAUAAGAGUGAAUUGUCCAGUAGCUGAAGCUUGAUCCGGGGGUAAAUCUUGCUAGAGCUACAGGAACAUGGAUCCACAUGUAUUUGUUACAGGCAUCAAAAUCCAGGAGUGUGUACACUGAGAGAGCCUUUGAUACCGGAUGAGACGGAAGCAGGAUUCCGUGCUCCAGUUUCAGGAACCCAUUCUCUUAAAUUUACUGCGCUGCUUGUCUGUUAUGUCAAGGAUCUGAAGAAAACUACAACCCAGUUGAUUUUAAUGAUUUCUAAUGACGGACCAUCAGCUCAACCCAAAUCCAUCAGCACCUAUCUACGUGUGUUCCUUGUUUAGGACUUUAUAGGGUCCAAAAGUUUCUGGAAUUAUGGAAUAAAGAGAACUACAGAUUACCAUACGUCAUGCCUGAUAGUGCCCAGCAGACAGAGCAUGCAUGUGAGCCUGAGCAGAAAGUUGCGACACAUAGAGAAUUUUGUCUACCAUAAUUGAAAGUCUUCAUCUUUGAUGCUAUGAUGGCCAAUCAAAAAAGCUAGGGAGGCCUAUCUGGUUUGGCUAUUUGAAGACAACAACCUGUGUUGUCAUCCAUGCCCAGAUGAUUUCCAUCGUGCUGAAAGAUAACCAUCAAAUACACUAAGCUGAUGUGAUAGCCUUGAUCUGCUGGAUUAUAUGGACACCUAUCUUUGUUAAAGACAUAUAACUGUCCAGGGGAAAAAGACAGUGCUAGUCAUGAACUGGUUAUUUUAUUUACAAGAUCAUCAUGGAAGAUAGCCUUUGGAAGGUAAAGCUAAAGCUUAUAAUGAGGUUAUUCACUGAUGACUUUUGCAUUCAUUCAUUGUCAGAAUGAAAGAAUCUUGGAAAAGACAUGAUAAAGAUGCAAUGUGAUCUAAAAUGUAUUAUGUAGGCCUACUCUCAAUUUUCACUAUUGUUUCAUUUUAUUGUAUGAACUGGUGGAGCAUUUCAUGAGAGGACCUGCUGGAUGUUUUAUCCAAUAAACUCUGUUUUACCCAACAGUUACUAUAUGAACAGUGCUUCUCAGCCAAUCAAAAUCAUGGAAAGUUGUUAGAUCUGACGACUUGUCGGACAAAACUAUUGAUGAAACGUUCCUCAGUUCUCAAGCAUGGGGCG
RNAcentral lists this long non-coding RNA (2421 nucleotides) under Lytechinus variegatus (green sea urchin). RNAcentral's name for it is "uncharacterized LOC121411026, transcript variant X1". The record is from RNAcentral. Lineage: Eukaryota; Metazoa; Echinodermata; Echinoidea; Temnopleuroida; Toxopneustidae.